AUGAGGUUAAGUUAUUCUAGGUUCAAAACCUGGGUAUAUGUUCUAGACUAUGUACCCGAGAGGACAACUCGAGUCGAGGAGGGGGCUACAUGCGGGGAACCAAAAGGCCAUCUGGCUUUGUAACUUGUUUGAGCCUCUUUCUUAUUCCGAGGUAUGAUACUAAUAGAAUAGAGAGUCUCGACCAGCGAGCACAUCCCCGUAGAUGAGAAGAGAAGGUUUCGUAGCAAUUUAUAUACAGUUCAAAAAAUAUCAAAACGGUAAAAGCAACAAUUAACAUAUAGGCCCAGACAUGUAAUAAAAUCAGAUAUUAAACAAAGCCAAAUACAAUUAUUCCUAGCUCGGAUUCUUGAACCCUGAACCAGAGAUUCUAGGUUUGAUCCCCAACGGAGUUGCCCGAGCUGUCACACCUCCUUUUUACACUACACCAUGCGAAGGGCGUAGUUAAGGGAGUUUUUCU
RNAcentral lists this long non-coding RNA (457 nucleotides) under Nicotiana benthamiana. RNAcentral's name for it is "long non-coding RNA (NBEN_LNC028270)". The record is from RNAcentral. Lineage: Eukaryota; Viridiplantae; Streptophyta; Magnoliopsida; Solanales; Solanaceae.